GGGGGGGGCAAGCGUUGUUCGGAAUUACUGGGCGUAAAGGGCUCGUAGGCGGCCAACUAAGUCAGACGUGAAAUCCCCAGGCUUAACCUGGGAACUGCGUCUGAUACUGGAUGGCUUGAAUUCGGGAGAGGGAUGCAGAAUUCCAGGUGUAGCGGUGAAAUGCGUAGAUAUCUGGAGGAAUACCGGUGGCGAAGGCGGCAUCCUGGACCGACAUUGACGCUGAGGAGCGAAAGCUAGGGGAGCAAACGGGAUUAGAUACCCCGGUAGUCCUAGCCCUAAACGAUGAAUGCUUGGUGUGGCGGGUAUCGAUCCCUGCCGUGCCGAAGCUAACGCAUUAAGCAUUCCGCCUGGGGAGUACGGUCGCAAGGCUA
RNAcentral lists this ribosomal RNA (371 nucleotides) under uncultured bacterium. RNAcentral describes it as "bacterial SSU rRNA". It matches the Rfam family "Bacterial small subunit ribosomal RNA", at positions 527 to 896 of the family's 1533-position model. The record is from RNAcentral.